AUUGAACGCUGGCGGCAGGCCUAACACAUGCCAGUCGAACGGUAACAGGAAGCAGCUUGCUGCUUCGCUGACGAGUGGCGGACGGGUGAGUAAUGUCUGGGAAGCUGCCUGAUGGAGGGGGAUAACUACUGGAAACGGUAGCUAAUACCGCAUAAUGUCGCAAGACCAAAGAGGGGGACCUUCGGGCCUCUUGCCAUCGGAUGUGCCCAGAUGGGAUUAGCUUGUUGGUGGGGUAACGGCUCACCAAGGCGACGAUCCCUAGCUGGUCUGAGAGGAUGACCAGCCACACUGGAACUGAGACACGGUCCAGACUCCUACGGGAGGCAGCAGUGGGGAAUAUUGCACAAUGGGCGCAAGCCUGAUGCAGCCAUGCCGCGUGUAUGAAGAAGGCCCUCGGGUUGUAAAGUACUUUCAGCGGGGAGGAAGGGAGUAAAGUUAAUACCUUUGCUCAUUGACGUUACCCGCAGAAGAAGCACCGGCUAACUCCGU
This 489-nucleotide ribosomal RNA is filed under the name uncultured bacterium. Its description in RNAcentral is "partial 16S ribosomal RNA". It matches the Rfam family "Bacterial small subunit ribosomal RNA", at positions 30 to 506 of the family's 1533-position model. The record is from RNAcentral.